UGAAUAGGGCGUUUAGUAUUUGGUCGUAGACCCGAAACCAGGUGAUCUACCCUUGGUCAGGUUGAAGUUCAGGUAACACUGAAUGGAGGACCGAACCGACUUACGUUGAAAAGUGAGCGGAUGAACUGAGGGUAGCGGAGAAAUUCCAAUCGAACCUGGAGAUAGCUGGUUCUCUCCGAAAUAGCUUUAGGGCUAGCCUCAAGUGAUGAUUAUUGGAGGUAGAGCACUGUUUGGACGAGGGGCCCCUCUCGGGUUACCGAAUUCAGACAAACUCCGAAUGCCAAUUAAUUUAACUUGGGAGUCAGAACAUGGGUGAUAAGGUCCGUGUUCGAAAGGGAAACAGCCCAGACCACCAGCUAAGGUCCCAAAAUAUAUGUUAAGUGGAAAAGGAUGUGGCGUUGCCCAGACAACUAGGAUGUUGGCUUAGAAGCAGCCAUCAUUUAAAGAGUGCGUAAUAGCUCACUAGUCGAGUGACACUGCGCCGAAAAUGUACCGGGGCUAAACAUAUUACCGAAGCUGUGGAUUGUCCUUUGGACAAUGGUAGGAGAGCGUUCUAAGGGCGUUGAAGCAUGAUCGUAAGGACAUGUGGAGCGCUUAGAAGUGAGAAUGCCGGUGUGAGUAGCGAAAGACGGGUGAGAAUCCCGUCCACCGAUUGACUAAGGUUUCCAGAGGAAGGCUCGUCCGCUCUGGGUUAGUCGGGUCCUAAGCUGAGGCCGACAGGCGUAGGCGAUGGAUAACAGGUUGAUAUUCCUGUACCACCUAUAAUCGUUUUAAUCGAUGGGGGGACGCAGUAGGAUAGGCGAAGCGUGCGAUUGGAUUGCACGUCUAAGCAGUAAGGCUGAGUAUUAGGCAAAUCCGGUACUCGUUAAGGCUGAGCUGUGAUGGGGAGAAGACAUUGUGUCUUCGAGUCGUUGAUUUCACACUGCCGAGAAA
This 933-nucleotide ribosomal RNA is filed under the name Staphylococcus aureus. RNAcentral describes it as "partial 23S ribosomal RNA". It matches the Rfam family "Bacterial large subunit ribosomal RNA", at positions 684 to 1615 of the family's 2925-position model. Lineage: Bacteria; Bacillati; Bacillota; Bacilli; Caryophanales; Staphylococcaceae. The record is from RNAcentral.